This 221-nucleotide long non-coding RNA is filed under the name Lathyrus oleraceus (garden pea). RNAcentral describes it as "Pisum sativum (pea) long non-coding RNA (PSAT_LNC010652)". Lineage: Eukaryota; Viridiplantae; Streptophyta; Magnoliopsida; Fabales; Fabaceae. The record is from RNAcentral.
AGGUUUGCUUUUAACAUGGCUGCUCUUAGGUUUGGAUUUUGAUUUGCAACUGCACUCAGCCUUGAAUCCAAUGCCAGAUUUGUUUCCAGUUAUUUGCCCAGUCUGGAGAAUCUUGUCUAGGGUGGCAGAUCCAUUGUUAAGCAUUUUUACAUACUUAGUCAUCUCAUCUAGUUUGGAAUUCAAGAAUACAGCCUCAGUUUCCAAUUUUGAGAUGGUUUCCA